RNAcentral lists this ribosomal RNA (443 nucleotides) under uncultured bacterium. RNAcentral describes it as "partial 16S ribosomal RNA". It matches the Rfam family "Bacterial small subunit ribosomal RNA", at positions 338 to 795 of the family's 1533-position model. The record is from RNAcentral.
CCUACGGGUGGCUGCAGUGGGGAAUAUUGGGCAAUGGGCGCAAGCCUGACCCAGCAACGCCGCGUGAAGGAAGAAGGCUUUCGGGUUGUAAACUUCUUUUAUCAGGGACGAAGCAAGUGACGGUACCUGAUGAAUAAGCCACGGCUAACUACGUGCCAGCAGCCGCGGUAAUACGUAGGUGGCGAGCGUUAUCCGGAUUUACUGGGUGUAAAGGGCGUGUAGGCGGGAAUGCAAGUCAGAUGUGAAAACUAUGGGCUCAACCCAUAGCCUGCAUUUGAAACUGUAUUUCUUGAGUGCUGGAGAGGCAAUCGGAAUUCCGUGUGUAGCGGUGAAAUGCUUAGAUAUCACGAAGAACCCCGAUUGCGAAGGCAGCCUGCCGCAGCGUUACUGACGCUGAAGCUCGAAAGCGCGGGUAUCGAACAGGAUUAGAUACCCCUGUAGUC